This 179-nucleotide unclassified non-coding RNA is filed under the name uncultured Sordariales. RNAcentral describes it as "sequence contains ITS2". The record is from RNAcentral. Lineage: Eukaryota; Fungi; Ascomycota; Sordariomycetes; Sordariales.
CAACCCUCAGGCCCCUCCCCCUCCGGGGGUGUAGCCUGGCGUUGGGGUAUCUGCAGUUGACCGCAGGCCCUGAAAGAAAGUGGCGGUGCCCGCUAGCACUCCGGGCGCAGUGGAUGUCUUUCUCGCCCAGGACGUCUCGCGGGCCGCCGGCCGUAAAACAGACACCCCAGUCAUUACAA